AAUCAACGCUGGCGGCGUGCCUAACACAUGCAAGUCGAACGCGAAAGCCCCUUCGGGGGUAAGUAGAGUGGCGUCCGGGUGAGUAACACGUAGGUAAUCUGCCUUCGGGUGGGGAAUAACCAGUCGAAAGAUUGGCUAAUACCGCAUAAUGCAGCGGCACCUAAUGGUGAUUAGUUGUUAAAGCGGGGGAUCGUAAGACCUCGCGCCUGAAGAGGAGCCUGCGGCAGAUUAGCUAGNGGUGAGGUAAUGGCUCACCAAGGCUUCGAUCUGUAGCUGGUCUGAGAGGACGGCCAGCCACACUGGCACUGACACACGGGCCAGACUCCUACGGGAGGCAGCAGUGGGGAAUUUUGGGCAAUGGGCGAAAGCCUGACCCAGCAACGCCGCGUGAGGGAGGAAAUCCUUCGGGAUGUAAACCUCACAAGCAAGGGAAGAGAGCUCAAGGCCGAAUAAGCUUUGAGUCCGACGGUACCUUGCGUAAGCCACGGCUAACUACGUGCCAGCC
This 505-nucleotide ribosomal RNA is filed under the name uncultured bacterium. RNAcentral's name for it is "bacterial SSU rRNA". It matches the Rfam family "Bacterial small subunit ribosomal RNA", at positions 32 to 513 of the family's 1533-position model. The record is from RNAcentral.